Molecule: long non-coding RNA, 1283 nt
Organism: Phragmites australis (common reed)
Lineage: Eukaryota; Viridiplantae; Streptophyta; Magnoliopsida; Poales; Poaceae
Exons: 2
Source: RefSeq, a predicted model, not a curated record
GGUGGGUGGGCACAAAAAUGAACACGCGAGGGUACCUUGCCACGGCAAACCAGUGUUUUGGCGCUCGACCAAACGGCCGCUGUGCUGCCAGUCAGCACCCAUGUUUUGGCGGGGCUAUUGCGGGCGUAGAACCAAACAUGUUAUAUAAGUUGCCCUUCUCCUCCCCACCUCCCAUCUCUCGGUCGCCCCUCGCUCUCCCUUCCCCAUCUCUCUUCUCGCUCUCCGCCAGUUCCGACGCCGCCGCCGAGCUACGUCCCCGACAAUGGCAGCAGCGGUGGGUGCGAGGCCUGUCUAGGGGCUUCGACCCUUCCUCCUCGGUCGGGCGCGGUCUUUGGUGCACCGUCUCCACUGCGGCGGGGCGGAGGAGAUCGGUCUGAUCCCGCGGUCACCAAAGCGGAUCCACCGUCGCCACCUCCUUCCUCGCCUGCAAGAAGAUGGAUCUGGGCCUCGCCGCUGCCGCCUCCUCCUACUCCUCCCCGAGAUCUCCGGGUUCCGAUCCAGGGGUGGCACCGCGGCCGGCGCGGGAGCGCAGGACCAACGGCUGAGCGCGGGGAUGGGGUCGACGCUGGGGCAAACGCAGAAGGCCAUCGGCGAGCCGGAGAGCCCGAGCCAGAGCCCGAGCCAUGUCUUGUCGUCGUCAUGCUUCGGCCUCUCCCAUCUCCUCUCGCACGGUCGACAUCGACCCCGUGCUCCCCUUCAACCCCUUCGUCCCCGAGUUCAUCCCCGACGCUCGACCGGGCCGCAGCACGCACGGCGGGGCAGGCGAGUGGGCGCUGGGCAGCUAGGUCCCGUCGACCGAUGGAGCAGAUGACUGGAGGUGGACCAUCCACCAAGUGAGCUCGCCGCCGCCGCCGUCCUCGCUGCCAUCGACCCCGAGCUUGCCGCCGCCGCAGAUCGAGCAACCCGAGGCCGAGCUCGUGCAAGCCGCUGUCCAACCCGGCUAUCUCCCCAAUCCGUCCAACCCAGCAUACAGAGGUAGGAAUUAGGAUAAAGAACGGCUGGAUUUGUAGGGAUGUGUGUGGCUGAAUUUGUAGGGAUUUAUAUCAUGUAGUACAUAGUUUUUAGCUGCUGCUGUGUAGACAAUGUCCUUCCAUUUGCAAUGCUUUUGGAUCUGAUCUGCUAAGCACUUGCCAUGUGAUCAGCAAGGUAUUUUGUAUCGGCAUGCCUCUUGUGAUUUGAGCUGUGCGUUCUGUUUAAACAAUAAUCAUGACACGCUCGCGCACACAUUUGUAAGGUGGGUUUGUACCACAGAUAAUACACAAGCGCAAUAUUUUGACACAAGA